GUGGCCGCGCGAGGGGGCGUGGCCGCGGAUCGGUUCCUGCCCCGCGCGCGGGCGGCGGGUGUCGCCGGUCGCGACAGAGUUUUAGCUGAAGAAACAAAUUGGUCUACAUGUGCUUCACUGUCCAUUGGAAGAAUGACAGAUGACAAAGAUGUGCUUCGAGAUGUGUGGUUUGGGCGAAUACCGACCUGUUUCACUUUGUAUCAGGAUGAGAUAACUGAGAGGGAAGCUGAACCUUACUAUUUGCUUUUGCCAAGGAUAAGCUACUUGACACUGGUAACAGACAAAGUGAAGAAACACUUUCAGAAAGUUAUGAGACAAGAGGAAGUUAGUGAAAUAUGGUUUGAAUAUGAAGGUACACCACUGAAAUGGCAUUACCCAAUUGGUUUGCUGUUUGACCUCCAUGCAUCAAAUACAGCCCUUCCUUGGAGCAUCACAGUGCAUUUCAAGAAUUUUCCAGAAAAGGAUCUUCUGCACUGCCAUUCUAAGGAUGUGAUUGAAGCUCAUUUUAUGGCUUGUAUAAAAGAAGCAGAUGCUUUAAAGCACAAAAGUCAAGUCAUCAAUGAGAUGCAAAAAAAGGAUCAUAAGCAACUGUGGAUGGGGUUACAGAAUGAUAAAUUUGAGCAGUUUUGGGCAAUAAAUCGAAAACUCAUGGAGUAUCCUCCAGAAGAUAAUGGAUUUCGAUACAUCCCAUUUAGAAUUUAUCAGGCAACAACAGAGAGACCUUUUAUACAGAAGCUGUUUCGACCAAUUGCUUCAGGAGGGCAGUUGCAUACUUUGGGAGACCUGCUAAAAGAUGUGUGUCCUGGUGCUAUCGCCCCUGAAGCAGGAGACCUCAGGUUCUUUAUGCACUGUACACGUGUUGCGAUGGGUUUCCACGGAAUUUAUCACUUAGACAAAAGAUGAGUAAAGAGAGACAAAGAGGAAGGAGAAAUUAAGAGGCACAGAGGGCGAUGUGCCUUGUACCUGGUCACGCUGAGAAAUGUGACUAUCUAACCUGAAGAUAGACUUGAGGUAGAAGAUGACAGGAAAUAACAAGAGAGGAAAAAUUAAAUGGAGAAGAAAAUUAUGAAUCAAAUAUUUGAUUUCAUCUCAGUAUUUAAUGAUAUUUUAUGUCAAUGAUAAUAUUGCAUAUUCAUCUACUUCCAUAUUGGGGAUA
RNA transcript from Empidonax traillii (willow flycatcher), 1156 nucleotides. It is a transcript of the gene named autophagy related 5, with no coding region annotated. The transcript has 9 exons. The record is from RefSeq and is a predicted model, not a curated record. NCBI's taxonomy places the organism in Eukaryota, Metazoa, Chordata, Aves, Passeriformes, Tyrannidae.